CCUACGGGGGGCUGCAGUGGGGAAUAUUGGACAAUGGGGGGAACCCUGAUCCAGCCAUGCCGCGUGUGUGAAGAAGGCCCUCGGGUUGUAAAGCACUUUCAGUGAGGAAGAACGCCUGGUGGUUAAUACCCAUCAGGAAAGACAUCACUCACAGAAGAAGCACCGGCUAACUCCGUGCCAGCAGCCGCGGUAAUACGGAGGGUGCGAGCGUUAAUCGGAAUUACUGGGCGUAAAGCGCGCGUAGGUGGCUUGAUAAGCCGGUUGUGAAAGCCCCGGGCUCAACCUGGGAACGGCAUCCGGAACUGUCAAGCUAGAGUGCAGGAGAGGAAGGUAGAAUUCCCGGUGUAGCGGCGAAAUGCGUAGAGAUCGGGAGGAAUACCAGUGGCGAAGGCGGCCUUCUGGACUGACACUGACACUGAGGUGCGAAAGCGUGGGUAGCAAACAGGAUUAGAUACCCCGGUAGUC
RNAcentral lists this ribosomal RNA (465 nucleotides) under Vreelandella stevensii. RNAcentral describes it as "partial 16S ribosomal RNA". It matches the Rfam family "Bacterial small subunit ribosomal RNA", at positions 338 to 795 of the family's 1533-position model. The record is from RNAcentral. Lineage: Bacteria; Pseudomonadati; Pseudomonadota; Gammaproteobacteria; Oceanospirillales; Halomonadaceae.